GAUGAAGAACGCAGUGAAAUGCGAUAAGUAAUGUGAAUUGCAGAAUUCAGUGAAUCAUCGAAUCUUUGAACGCACAUUGCGCCCCCUGGUAUUCCGGGGGGCAUGCCUGUCCGAGCGUCAUUACAACCCUCAAGCUCAGCUUGGUGUUGGGCCCCGCCGCCCCGGCGGGCCCUAAAGUCAGUGGCGGUGCCGUCCGGCUCCGAGCGUAGUAAUUCUUCUCGCUCUGGAGGUCCGGUCGUGUGCUCGCCAGCAACCCCCAAUUUUUUUCAGGUUGACCUCGGAUCAGGUAGGGAUACCCGCUGAACUUAAGAAUAUCAAUAAGCGGAGGA
RNAcentral lists this unclassified non-coding RNA (329 nucleotides) under soil metagenome. RNAcentral describes it as "partial contains 5.8S ribosomal RNA, internal transcribed spacer 2, and large subunit ribosomal RNA". The stretch from base 1 to 120 matches the Rfam family "5.8S ribosomal RNA", at positions 35 to 154 of the family's 154-position model. The record is from RNAcentral.